CUGAGUACUACCGCUCAUCAACCCUUUGUGAACAUACUUAUACCUGUUGCUUCGGCGGUAGGCGUCCCCUAAAAGGGUCUCCGGCCCUCCCGUCCGGGUGGGCGCAGCGGAGGAACCAAUCUCUGAUUUUCGAACCGACGAUACUUCUGAGUGUUACUAAGCGAACUAAUCA
RNAcentral lists this unclassified non-coding RNA (172 nucleotides) under soil metagenome. RNAcentral's name for it is "partial internal transcribed spacer 1". The record is from RNAcentral.